Molecule: ribosomal RNA, 675 nt
Filed under: uncultured bacterium
Lineage: Bacteria
Description: bacterial SSU rRNA
Rfam family: Bacterial small subunit ribosomal RNA
Source: RNAcentral
CAGGUCUCUGGGCCAAUACUGACACUGAGGAGCGAAAGCGUGGGGAGCGAACAGGAUUAGAUACCCUGGUAGUCCACGCCGUAAACGGUGGGCGCUAGUUGUGCGAACCUUCCACGGUUUGUGCGACGCAGCUAACGCAUUAAGCGCCCCGCCUGGGGAGUACGAUCGCAAGAUUAAAACUCAAAGGAAUUGACGGGGCCCCGCACAAGCAGCGGAGCAUGCGGCUUAAUUCGACGCAACGCGAAGAACCUUACCAAGGCUUGACAUAUACAGGAAUAUGGCAGAGAUGUCAUAGCCGCAAGGUCUGUAUACAGGUGGUGCAUGGUUGUCGUCAGCUCGUGUCGUGAGAUGUUGGGUUAAGUCCCGCAACGAGCGCAACCCUCGUUCUGUGUUGCCAGCAUUAAGUUGGGGACUCACAGGAGACUGCCGGGGUUAACUCGGAGGAAGGUGGGGAUGACGUCAAAUCAUCAUGCCCCUUAUGUCUUGGGCUGCACGCAUGCUACAAUGGCUGGUACAAACGGCUGCGAUACCGCAAGGUGGAGCGAAUCCGAUAAAGCCAGUCUCAGUUCGGAUUGGGGUCUGCAACUCGACCCCAUGAAGUCGGAGUUGCUAGUAAUCGUAGAUCAGCAACGCUACGGUGAAUACGUUCCCGGGGCUUGUACACACCGCCCGUCA